UUCUUAGUCUCUCAAAUUAAAGCUCGGCGACUGCAAUAUCAUAGUGGCGAUUCAGUGCGAGUGGCUUCAGAGAACGACUGGGAGGUCACUGUAGGGUUUACCUCUCGAAGGUUUCGAUUACGACUCCAUUCUUGGACAGUGCUGCGAGUCGCCGGUCGGAGACGAAGUAAUCUUUAUAGAGUUUAAGAAGCUCGAGUUUGUGGGUGGGUUGAAGAACUUUGAAUUUUUGGAGAAAGUCAAGUCCAGCUUGGUUCUCAAUUUGCACUCAAUUUAUACAUUCUUUUCCAUGAGUUGGUGGGUCGACUGGCUUCCUUGUUGUAUGGAGAGGAAAAAGUAAGA
Molecule: long non-coding RNA, 339 nt
Organism: Rosa chinensis
Lineage: Eukaryota; Viridiplantae; Streptophyta; Magnoliopsida; Rosales; Rosaceae
Exons: 3
Source: RefSeq, a predicted model, not a curated record